GACGAACGCUGGCGGCGUGCCUAAUACAUGCAAGUUGAGCGCUGAAGGUUGGUACUUGUACCGACUGGAUGAGCAGCGAACGGGUGAGUAACGCGUGGGGAAUCUGCCUUUGAGCGGGGGACAACAUUUGGAAACGAAUGCUAAUACCGCAUAAAAACUUUAAACACAAGUUUUAAGUUUGAAAGAUGCAAUUGCAUCACUCAAAGAUGAUCCCGCGUUGUAUUAGCUAGUUGGUGAGGUAAAGGCUCACCAAGGCGAUGAUACAUAGCCGACCUGAGAGGGUGAUCGGCCACAUUGGGACUGAGACACGGCCCAAACUCCUACGGGAGGCAGCAGUAGGGAAUCUUCGGAAAUGGACGAAAGUCUGACCGAGCAACGCCGCGUGAGUGAAGAAGGUUGUCGGAUCGUAAAACUCGGUUGGUAGAGAAGAACGUUGGUGAGAGUGGAAAGCUCAUCAAGUGACGGUAACUACCCAGAAAGGGACGGCUAACUACGUG
RNAcentral lists this ribosomal RNA (497 nucleotides) under uncultured bacterium. RNAcentral's name for it is "partial 16S ribosomal RNA". It matches the Rfam family "Bacterial small subunit ribosomal RNA", at positions 28 to 507 of the family's 1533-position model. The record is from RNAcentral.